This 403-nucleotide RNase P RNA is filed under the name Corynebacterium jeddahense. Its description in RNAcentral is "Bacterial RNase P class A". It matches the Rfam family "Bacterial RNase P class A". From Rfam's summary of the family: Ribonuclease P (RNase P) is a ubiquitous endoribonuclease, found in archaea, bacteria and eukarya as well as chloroplasts and mitochondria. Its best characterised activity is the generation of mature 5'-ends of tRNAs by cleaving the 5'-leader elements of precursor-tRNAs. Cellular RNase Ps are ribonucleoproteins. The record is from RNAcentral. Lineage: Bacteria; Bacillati; Actinomycetota; Actinomycetes; Mycobacteriales; Corynebacteriaceae.
UGAGCCGGCCGGGCGGCCGCGGCGCUGCGAACCACUGCACACCAGAAAGGCGCAGGUCGAGGAAAGUCCGGACUCCACAGGGCACGGCGGUUGCUAACGGCAACCCGGAGCGAUCCGCGGGAAAGUGCAACAGAAAGUAGACCGCCUCGUACGAACUCGUACGAGGUAAGGGUGAAAGGGUGCGGUAAGAGCGCACCGGCGUGCGUGGCGACACGCGCGGCCAGGUAAACCCCGCCGGGAGCAAGGCAAGAGCCCCCGCCCGCAGCGGCGGAGGUCGUCGGACGUAGGCUGCCCGCCCAGUCCGAAGGUAGCUGCUUGAGGCGCCCAGCAAUGGGUGGCCCAGAUGGAUGGUCGCCGCCCCGCUCGCGGGGAACAGAAUCCGGCUCACAGGCCGACUCAUUCG